RNAcentral lists this ribosomal RNA (559 nucleotides) under Mycosyrinx cissi. RNAcentral's name for it is "LSU rRNA". It matches the Rfam family "Eukaryotic large subunit ribosomal RNA", at positions 103 to 653 of the family's 3401-position model. The record is from RNAcentral. Lineage: Eukaryota; Fungi; Basidiomycota; Ustilaginomycetes; Ustilaginales; Ustilaginaceae.
AAGAGCCCAAGUUUAAAAGCUGGCGUUUGUAUUCGGGCGCCCGCAUUGUAAACUCAAGAAGCGUUUUCCGCACCGGACCGGGUUUUAAGUCUUUUGGAAUAGAGCAACAUAGAGGGUGAAAGUCCCGUACUUAAUUCGGAAACCCCGGGGCUUUGUGAUACGCUUUCUAAGAGUCGAGUUGUUUGGGAAUGCAGCUCAAAAUGGGUGGUAAAUGCCAUCUAAGGCUAAAUAUUGAGGAGAGACCGAUAGCGAACAAGUACCGUGAGGGAAAGUUGAAAAGAACUUUGGAAAGAGAGUUAAAAGUACGUGAAAUUGCCGGAAGGGAAGGGUAGGGAGCCAGAUAUGCUUUUAUAGAUUCAGUCUACUCUUUUUUAUAAGACUUCUGACGUAUUUUUAUAUUGAGCAGGCCAGCAUCGGUUUUCGUCGCUAGAUAUAGGUCAUAGGGAAAGUGGCUUUGGCUUUGGUCAAAGUGUUUAUAGCCCUUAACUAAGUACAGCGAUGGGGACCGAGGACAGCAGCGUACCUGAAAGGGCGGGCAAAUUGGGCCCUACCUUUGCGC